Molecule: transfer RNA, 75 nt
Filed under: Ameiurus melas (black bullhead)
Lineage: Eukaryota; Metazoa; Chordata; Actinopteri; Siluriformes; Ictaluridae
Rfam family: tRNA
About the family: Transfer RNA (tRNA) molecules are approximately 80 nucleotides in length.
Source: Rfam by way of RNAcentral
GGGCCAGUGGCGCAAUGGAUAAGCGGCGUCUGACUACAGAUCAGGAGAUUCCAGGUUCAACUCCUGGUUGGCUCA